RNAcentral lists this ribosomal RNA (292 nucleotides) under uncultured bacterium. RNAcentral's name for it is "partial 16S ribosomal RNA". It matches the Rfam family "Bacterial small subunit ribosomal RNA", at positions 505 to 796 of the family's 1533-position model. The record is from RNAcentral.
GUGUCAGCCGCCGCGGUAAAACGUAGGAGCCUAGCGUUAUCCGAAUUUACUGGGCGUAAAGCGCGUGCAGGCGGCUUCAUAAGUUGGCUGUGAAAUCUCCCGGCUCAACUGGGAGGGGACGGUCAAGACUGUGAGGCUGGAGGCAGGGAGAGGGAGGUGGAAUUCCCGGUGUAGUGGUGAAAUGCGUAGAGAUCGGGAGGAACACCCGUGGCGAAAGCGGCCUCCUGGACCUGACCUGACGCUGAAACGCGAAAGCUAGGGGAGCGAACGGGAUUAGAAACCCCUGUAGUCC